AAAUGUUUUACAUUUACAUCUAAAUACAUCGCACAAUUAUUCAAUCUUUUAUAUUUAUUUUUUAAAAUAAAGUUUAUGUGAGUUGAAUUUUAAGGGUUUGAUCAUCAUAAGAGUAAAAAAUAGAUGAUACAGAUUUUAUGAUCUUCUGCAAUGUAAAGCAUGACUUUUUGUUUGCUUUGAAUGUAAUGUAACUUUUCUAUGGAUAAGCACUCACCAACCAUCUCCAUAAUUUUCAUAUACAAUGACACUCAAAUCUUACCUAUUCACUUUUGGCCAAGACAAUGCAGAAAACCAAGCCUGUAAGGCUUGGUCCCCAAGCCAUGCAUAAUGUAACAACUACAUAGUCACCAAAGUGAACAUAGUCUAAUAAGUUUUUUCAUGUAACAAAAUGUUCAGAUGUUUUUUGUUUAAUCAUAUAUUUAUUUUUUGGUGAAAAUCAAGACAAUUUGAUUAUUGAUAUAAUGAUUUCAUAUACUGCAGAAUGGUGUCCAGUUUUAAAUACAGUUUCAUUAUUUUGAGAGUAUGUUAUUUGAACACCAAAAUGCUUCUCUUUGGUACGUUGGAAAUGCAUUGUGUUUAACUUGCAAAUAAUCCUCAAUUUAUGAAUGCAGGAAUCUGUUUAUGGAUGGGAAGAACUCAGCAACAUUAACUGCUAUCUUUUCAUUUUUUGCAGUAGCUUAUGUGAUUAGGCUCGACAGAGUAUACAUGUACAAGUACAACAAAACAAGGCAUUAAAAUUAGUUUGUACUUGAUGUUUGGUUUUACAUAACAUCUAUAGUUGUUAGACAGAAUUCAACUACUCCUCAAAUCCCUACGUCGGGGUAAUUACAAGAAUACAUGUCAUAAGCAACAAACUUUGAUA
Molecule: long non-coding RNA, 862 nt
Filed under: Medicago truncatula (barrel medic)
Lineage: Eukaryota; Viridiplantae; Streptophyta; Magnoliopsida; Fabales; Fabaceae
Description: long non-coding RNA (MTRU_LNC000830)
Source: RNAcentral